AUGAUGAACCCAGCCGUUAGCAGGAAGGCGGCACAACAACGUCAGCGGCGCACCUACAGAGUGAGAAGAGAUAUUUUCGCUGAGUACGACGAUGCUGAGUUACUGAAAAGAUUCAGAUUGGACCGUGCUGGUAUUGUUGCAGUGACUGAUAUAGUGAGAGACAAGCUGCAAAGUAAAACUGAAAGAAAUAGAGCCUUGACCCCUGAGAUGGUGGCCAUCACAUUACGAUAUUUAGCCACAGGAAAAAUGCAACAGUGCAGUUGUGAUGAUUUUGGAACAACGCAGCCCACUAUCAGCCGUGCAAUAUCACAGACAAUUGAUGCACUGGCUGACCCAGAAGUAAUCUGCCAGUUCGUGGCUUUCCCUCACACCCAGCGUGAAGUGCAGCAAAAACAGGCAGAGUUCAUGCAAGUAACUCAGUUUCCCGGUGUUGUGGGAGUGAUUGAUGGCACUCAUAUAAGAAUUGUGUCUCCUCAUGUCGAUGAACAUGUAUAUGUGAACAGGAAACGCUAUCACAGCAUAAAUGUGCAAGUAGUAUUUGAUGCUCACUAUAAGAUUCUUGACAUUGUGGCAAGGUGGCCUGGCUCAGUCAACGAUGCAAGAAUACUAGAUAAGUCAGCACUCAAACUGAUGUUUGAGGAACAACAUGUACCUGCAGGAUGCUACCUUCCCGGGGACAGUGGCUAUCCCUGUAAGCAGUGGCUCCUCACUCCUUACCUUCGCCCUCAAACUGUUGCACAAGCUAAUUAUAACAGUUCCAGUACCUUACGAUGCAGCCGAGGGGACUGACGCCACCACCACCACUGCCACCACCGCCACAACAAGGGUUAUUCAAAUGGGGAACAUGCUUCAGGUGUUGCCCCAAGAUGCCUCAGCCCCGCAGCCCCACUUCCCCAUGAUAGUGCAGGCAGGGAAUGUCAUACAGGUUGUUCCAGCUGACAACACGCAGGUAUUAGGGGCAGAAGUCGUUGGAGUUGGUCGGGUCAUGCAAGUGGUCGGAGUCCCAGGCUUUCCCCCGACCCCAGCCCCAGACCCCUGCCCCAGCCACCCCUCUCCCUGUGACCCCUGCCCAGUCAUCCCUCACCCCCUCCUGCCCCCCUGCGGUGCUGCCAGCGGGGGUGAUGGGAGGUGGAGGUGGGCCACACACACCUGGGUUAGCUGUGGCUUGGCUUAUCUCCCUCCUCAGCAGCAAAUCCCGAGGAUCAACGAGGACAUGGUGGACCCAGAGAUUGCAGCAGCAGCAAGAGAGAGAGAGAGAAGCAAGAGAGGAGGGAGAGGAAGGAGAGGAGGAGGAGAGAGAGGGAGGCCAGGAGGGAGGCACGUCAGAGAGAGAGGGAGAGGAAGAGGUUGAUUCUGUUACAACAACAACUGCAACAACAACAACAGUUAGUCAGUGAGGAGGGGGAGGGGCCGUCCUCUGAUGCUGAGGAUGAGGUAUUGUUCAGGGAGGCCAUGUCGGAGGUGCCGGUGGUGGGGUCGCCAGUUCCGGAGUACGAGGUGGAGGAGGAAAAGGAAGAGGAGGACGAGGAGGAGGCACGGAUAAGGAAGAAGAAAAGAUUAUUACCUGUAGCCCUCCCUCCAGCUGAUAAGGGGAUAUUAAGGAGCCCUUCCUACAGGUUCGUUCGAUGCAAGGAGUUGGCACAGGAGGCGUCCGAGGCUGUGUAGAGCGGCCGUCUGAACCUGGUGCCACAGCUUACUAUGUUCAACAGAUGCCUGAAGGAAGUGUGUGUAAGGGAGGAUAAAGAGAUCAUGCUGGCCUAUGCAGACGAUGUCGCUGUCGUGACAGGAAGCCAACAAGAUCUUCAAGAGGCCAUGACAAGAUGGAAUGAUGUUUUAAAUAGGGAAGGAAUGAGAAUGAACAAACAAAAAACUUAUUUACUAGUGGACAAGCAACAAGUGAUGGUGUGGCUCUGAGCCACUGUAGUAGGGAUGUUAUGGUUUAAGUGUAGGAAGUUGCAAAUGCUCACCUAACAAUUGCACCUUAGUAGAAAAACACAAACAGGAAGUUUAUGCAAGUUUUUAUCCUUAUAUAAAAUGUUGUAUUGCAUCAAACCUCCAUACAUUACUGUCUCUAUCCAGUAUGAGACCGGUGUUCAGGAAGCACAAGCAUGUGCUGAAUAACAAGAAGCCGGCAUUGGUGAAGGUGACAACAUUUCAUCUAUUUAUACAUACUUUUUAUUAUUAAAGCUUAUCUUAUAAUUAUUUCUGAAGAGAUUGACUAAUUUUUGUAGUAUUUAUGACUUAGAACUAUGAUAAAGCUAUGAAUUGAUAUAAUUCCUGAUUUGUUUUAUCUUUUCAUUAUCCUUCCUUUGUUAAUUGAGCAUUUUAUAUUACUUAGCUUAAAAAUGCAAGAACGGUUCAGAAGUAUCCAACCUUGGGCUAAGGGCCAAAAUUAUGGUAUCAUUCAAAAUGUCCUUCAAAGAAAGCCCUCUGUAAUCCAACACACUUAGCCCAUUAAUCCUUCCAUUUCUCAUCAAUUUGUUCAACAUUCAUAUUUUUCCCUUAUAGGGUUGAACAAUUUUCAUGGGUUCAGAGCAAAAGGCUUCCUCAUUCCUCCCCAAGGUAUUCUCGGAUGGUAAGCAGGUUUGACUCUGGAGCAAACCUGACCAAGGGCUACUGCCCAAGGCUACAGAGGUUCCUCUCCCUGAGGCUGAAUGCACCAUGUGAGAUGGUUCUGUUAUGUGGAUGAAUGUCAUGGUGGAUAGCAGUGCCACCACAUUCCUACAAUCAUCCAUCACUCCACUGCUCAAACGCUUCUGCAACCAAUGAUAGGUAUGCUGCCACAUUCUGCAUGGUCUCCUUGGCUCUCAGAUAAGGAUACUGUCAACAGGUUUGGGAUUGCCAAAAAAUCAUAAGGAGCUAUGUCUGAAAAGUCCAGAGAGAGAGAGAGAGAGAAAGAAUGAGCAAGAGAAAGAGUAGGAUGAAGCAAAGGAAGAGUCAAGAGGGAGGAAGAGAGAGUAGGACAAGAAAAAACAGAACAAAUAAAUCCCCUACACGUCUUGUCUCCAUUCACACAAGCCAUGAAAAGCUUGUCCAUCCCUGAGUGCUCAGAAGCAGUGUUCCACUGAUGAUGUGGAAACUUGAGACACCCAAUCAUUUAAUGGGCUUUAGUAGGUUUUGUCACCAGUCUUCUGUGUGUCACUGACUACAUUUUGAAAUUUUUAUCUGUUCUAUUUAAUUUUGUGUGUAUGUACACAAUGUUUAUGGUCAAUAAACUAUUUAUAAAACUAUUUAUCUGUGUGAGUAAGAUAAAAGCAGUUAUUGUUAUUAUUAUUAUUAUUAUUAUUAUUAUUAUUAUUAUUAUUAUUAUUACACAUUUUCCUCCUUGUAUUUAAAUAUUAUUAUUAUUAUUAUUAUUAUUAUUAUUAUUAUCAUGAAUUGUUCUUGUUUAUAAAUAAAAUACUGUAACUGA
This is a long non-coding RNA of Scylla paramamosain (green mud crab), 3412 nucleotides long. RefSeq lists it as uncharacterized. Lineage: Eukaryota; Metazoa; Arthropoda; Malacostraca; Decapoda; Portunidae. The transcript has 7 exons. The record is from RefSeq and is a predicted model, not a curated record.